ACACACACUUAUCCAUUCAUUCUUUUAUUUUAAAGGAAGUGGUAGGUUAUAGGCAUCUGUUGUUUUGGUCACCCAAAAUCCACUCAUUUUUCUUCUGACAGCAACACCUUGACUCUCUUUCAGAAACCACAUCCUGUCUCAUGCUCACUCCAUGUUCUUAAGAUGGGGGUGGGAUCUAUGGGUGGAUAUGUGACUCAGGCCUGGCCAAUCAGCACAACGUAUUCUCUUGGCUAUUGUGACUCAUCAUUGACAUGGCAUGUUCCCCAGUCAAAACCAAUGAUGUGCGGUGGAACUUUCACUGAGACUAUUGAGACAAGCCAUCCGCCCUUUCCUGCUAGAUAAGGCUUAGAAGAAGAAAAGCCUGGAGAUCUUGGCUACCAUCUUUCCACCCCAUGGAGCUCCAGAAUGAAACUGAUCUAUAGGAAAUUAGUAUUGACAGGUUCACGAAGUUUUUGCCAAUAAAUUAGGAAUGUACUAACUAGUUCUGAAGACUGUGGCACCCAGGAAAUUUUAUUGAUCUCAUAAUUUACCAGAUCUUUUGGUUAAUUACAAGUUCUGUCUAGCUGGGUACGCUUUUUGAGUCAGCUGCACAUCAUAAAUAAGUAACCUCAGUACUCACCCUCCCUACAUUGCUGACAGCCUCCUGUGAGGUCAAAGGUGUAAUAGCUACAAUACCCAGAGUCUCUAACAUGUUUAAUUAAACUAUUAAUCUACUUUUAUCUCUGACACUAGAAAGCUGGCUACAUUGAAUUUUCAGAGUCAUUCGAUGCAUUUACUUACGGUGGAUUUUUCUAAGCCGUAUCUUUCACAGUUUAGCAUUGGCAACUCUUUUAAAGGUAAUUUGAAAAAAUGUGAAUGUUGGAGGAAUUACUGUAUCAGCUAAUAAGAAAGUGUGUCAUUUACAGUGAUUCAUGCAUUUGCUUCCUGAUGCAAUAUGUAAGUAAAGCACUUUAUUAAAAACAAAGAAGAUUAAGGUUCACUUAAGGUUUGAAAAUUGUAGUAGAUCAAUCAGCAGCAAACCCAGAAGGCCCAUUUUUUAAAGUGUGUUGAUGAUCAUUGGAACAGGAGUUAUCUUUGUUACAUAACCUACAAGAACUCGCUGAGGACAAGUGUAACCUCUGGUGGCAGUAAUGACAUUUUCAGUGAUCAGGCUUUGUGUUCAUUAUCACAGUGGAGGCUUGAAACUUGAGUCCUCAGCAACGUGUGUAUCCACGAAGCUUUAAUUAGGUUAACAAAGUACUCAUGUGUCUGUCUCUUUAUUGUCUAUCAACUGGCAGUAAUCUACUACAUAUGUUACACAAUUAAGGAAGCAAUUUGCUGCUUUUCAUUUUAUUUCCUGUGCUCAUUCUUGAGCUUGUGGGUAUAGAAUCAUGUGAAAAAUUCAAGGUUUUACUUUCCUUCACUGUAAGCUCAUGUUACCUGAUUGCAUCAUUUUUUACUCUUCUUUAUUAAGGGAAUCUACAUCUUAUGCACCUACAUCAAAUCUAUAAAAAUAUGACACCAUGACCUUCUAACUUAAUGUCAUUGGCUUUAGUUUUAACAAUGAUUUAGAGUGAUUUGAGUCAUGCUUUGGAACAUUCCACUUAAAAAUCAGUUUAGACAGGCAAUGCCUGUGCAAAUAUUGACUAUAAAUAUGAUGUGUUUCUAGCAAGUUAGAUUAAUAUCAUGAGCUAAAAUUCAGAGAUCUAUUUUUUUUCUUUUCUGCUUUGUUAAAGAGUAUUACCAAAAACCAAAUCCAUUUGCAGAUUGGUCAUAUAUUUUGCAAAUGCCCGUGGGACUAAAAUUUAAUUUAGAUACUCAACAUAUCUUCCCUCCCAUCCUACCUCUAGUCAAAAUAAUCAAAACCACAACUCUUUUACAUUUGUGCAGCAGUUGAAGCUGUGUAUUUCAGCUUAUUUUAUUGUAUUUUAACUUUUUGCACUGUACUGGCUGACUGAGUAUUCUAUGUAUCUUGUUAAAUGUGAGCAGCUUCCUCUAAAACAAGUCAUUUCAGCUGACACUUUUGGCUCACAUUCAGCAUUUUACGGCCUCUGUCUCAGAGCCACAAGUUUAUAAUUUGAGAUGCCGCAGAGCUUACUUAUUCAUCAUGAUUAGAUGUUUCUAUCUACUAUUCUACUGAAUGGCAAGCUCUAAUAUUAAAAAAAACAAUCAGUCCUUGGUUUGGUAACAAAAACAAAAAAUAGUGAAAAAAAUAAAUGAAAUGUACUACAUUUAUCUCCUUGAUGUGGGUGUAAUAUGAGUCCAACUUUUGAAUGACCAUUAACUAUUUGCAUAAUAUAAAAUAUAAACUGGUAACUUUGGAGCAUUUGUACCAUCCUGGUGCUUCAGGCUUAAAAUUACUAGUUUGAAAAGAUAAUUAUUGGCCAUAUUUACAGAAAAAAUGAGUUUCAAAUGCAUUUUUAAUGUAAUAUGUGAGUACAUAGCUAUUAAAGGUUAAUGGUUUUCUUUGGAGAAUAAUUUUUCUUUUUGGACUAUUGUAGUAAUCCCUUUGUAAAUGUUUGAUUUCUAUCCUACAUAAGCAAAACCUGUGGGCUGUUAUUCCUACUGUUCUGAGAUGAAAGCAGCUAGGAAUUUUAGAGGGCAACCCCAGUGAGAUUAUCUGACUCACAGAAAUGAAUCAUUAAUGGUGGAACCUCAGGCAUGGGGUGGGGGGUCAUGUCAGGGGAGUAGCCUGUUAGCUUCAGCACGUGCUACCAUCACUUACACCGCUUCCCCAUGAAGGCAGGUCCAACCUGCUCUGCAGCGGAGCCUGGGACUUUUGUGCCUGCUCUCCAAUCAGAGCCUUUGGCUACUGCUGUUACUAUCAGGAAUAGCUGUCGGUAGAGAAGAGAACACUGGACAUAAUGUGGCUGACUGUGACUCCAGCCCAAACCUCUGUCCCCUUGUCUUUCAUGGUGCUUUAAACCUCAUCAUCAAAACAAAUAAAAUAUCCUUGGGCGGAGGAUCAGAACUAAUGGUAUUAUGCCUUAGAGAUUUUUUGUUUUACCAUUAAAAAUAUAUAUUUUCAGGUUUCUUUAUACUCAAUAGCUGUAUUAUUGGUCUAUAUUUUAUGUAAGAGUAGUUAGGUAACUAGCCUCAGAACACACAAGUAGUAAAUAGUAGGGCUAGGUUUUAAAACCAAAUUUGUGUGUUAACCAAAGCCAGUACCUAGUUCACUAUAUAAUGAUCAUCCCCAUGGUGGGGAAGCAGCCUUUCUUAUGAUCAGACAUUCUUUAUGCACCUAAUUGAGUUCUAGAAAGGAACAUAGGGCAAGAUGGGUGUGAGGUGGGCACGGUGGUGCUGAGAAACUGGUAAUCCAAAAGAAUCAAUAAGUCAAACAACCACUACCACCAAACAAGCCCUGGUUUGGAACGUUUUCCAGUUUUAUGUAGUGGGAAUACUCCCACUGUGGCCAAGUGAGGUCACUGAAUGUCAAGUUGAAAAGAGAUGCACAAGGUCAGCUCUCACAGCCUGGCUCCCACACACCACUGAGCGGGGAGCACAGAUGUGGCCAUGGGAAGAAGGGCAAGGGGUGGUCAAAGAAGGAGUGAAUUGCUCAGAGGGGCCUGACAGACAAAUGACACUCAAGGACUCUAAGCUCUUUGCACCCUACGGUGACAGCCAGUUACUUGAGGAGUCUCCCAUGAACUGUAGCUCCCAGGGUUCAUGCCUUGUGCGGUUUCUUCCCCUUGGGCUUGUGACUUGCUUAAACCAGUAGAAUGUGGCAGCAGUGAUGCUCUGCAGGUUCUAGAGCUCAGCCAUAAGAAAGCCUGGAAUCUUCUAAUGUAGCACCCUCAGAGCCCUGAGCUGCCCUGUGAGGAGCCUAGCCGCCCUGCUCCAACAGACUGCAUGGAAGGUUCAUGUGCAAGGGGCAUGUGAAGAUGUAGAGGCCCUUACACCGCAUGGAGGACUGAAGAGCCCAGCCCAUGGAGGACAGCAUGUCCCAGACACAUGUCCCUCGGAGAGCCAUCCCAUUGGAGGCACCACACCUGCGAGUGCGGAGCUCACCUUGAGUGUGAAUUGUGAGAAAAUGUUGUUUUAAGCCACUAAGUUUUGGGUCAAUUUAGGUGCAAGGUGCAAUUGACAACUAAAACCAUUUAUUUUCUACCAAUGCAAGAAUCUUACUUUUACUUACGAUGUUUUAUCAUCAAGAUGGGAAGGGAAGCCCUGUCCCUCAAGUCACAGAUGUACCAUGGAAACCCAUGGGGACAGACAAGGCCAUGCCCUCCAACUAACUUGGCGCCUCAUUCACUGCCACCUGUUCCUUCCUCUCAGUCUGAUUUAGAAAGUGUAUGAGAAAAUUGUGGUUGAUGGCUUUCCCAUUGGGGUAUCACCAUCUUCUUUUGUGGUGACAGUGCUUGAAACUGAUCAAAAGAAAAAAUGAGAGAGAAGACAUCUCUACCAUCAUUGUUCAAGAACAAGAAUAGAACAAAUCUCAAAUCUGUAAGCCCAAGCUGCUUUUGAGGAGUAUAAUUCUUAUUGUAUUGGCAAUUCUGUGGGCAUUGUACUCAUGCUUCUUUUUCCUUUCAUUAACUAAGAAAUUAUACAGAAGAAAUAAAGAAAGGGACUGACCUUCCUAACAGAAUACUUCACCUAUAUCAUGACUUGAUGAAAUAUUGUGAAAGCAUAAAAUUGAGAGAAAAAAAUAAAGUCUCCCAUUGUCUAAAUGCUGAAUUAAACUGUUGUGUAGCUUUGGUUAGCCAUCGCCUAUAAGCUGAGACCCUGGAGUUAGCCAUAGUGAAUCCAGACAUGAGCAAGUCUCCAGAGGUAUGAAGCCCUGCUGUACACCUCUAGUUCUAAAAAGUGUAUCUGGUUUGAAUGAUUUAAUCAGAGGUUCUCUUAAUGCCAGCACAAUGUUGAUAUUUGCUCAUGAGAUGUUGGCAUUAAAAUGACUAGUGAUUUAAGGUGGUUGAUGACGUAAGACCAGAACAUGAUGAUGAUUUUAGAGCAGUAAAAAGGCUGAAAAUGAGGCAGAGAUAUUAGUUUUAUCAAAGACAAGAAAACAACUUGGGAGAAAACUUUCAACCUUCGAUAAAAUUUUCAUUUGAGUAAAGCUCAUCACAGGAUGCUCCCCAGGGUACCACGCAGGUGCAUACAUUCUGCUAUCCAUGUUUUAGAAGAAAAGUCACAAACUCAAUUAAGUACAGUUGCAAUGUUUCAAGAUCCUCCUGUUUGGGGGAAAGAAGCAAAAUCACAUCUAUUAUAGUCUGCUUACCAAGGUACAGUGAAGUACAGCACUUGAGGCUCAUAUUCUAGGAUUAAAGCUUAACUUCAGGAUGCGUCAUUUAAAGUCUGCCAGCCAUGUCUUCUUGACCUGCAAUGUGUAGAUGAUUUCCUCUCUCUUAUUACCUGCCUAUGGCAUUGUUUUAAUACUCAGAAACAUGCAGAAGUGAUUGAUAAAAGUGUAAAGUACUGUCCAAAAGUGAGAUUGCCUAGUGGCAGGUGAAAAGACAGUCUAUCCAGAAAAUAACACACCCAAUUCUGCUGAACUCUUUUAACACGCUACCCCAGAAAAUUUAGGCCUGAUUUUGUAGCUCUUCCAUGAAACCAAAUAAACUGAGAAUGAAGGAGAAGAUGUAUAUUUUCAAUCCAUUUUAGAUCAUUUGCAUUAUCUAUAUUAGCUCCAAACACAUGAGAAUGUACCUAUCAGUGUAUGAACCAGUGCUCAUUUUCCUAUCAGACAUAGGCAUCCCUUACAAUAGCAGGUGAAUAUCCAGGGAGAUAGGAUGGCUAGUAGAUUGCUAAUAUUACAUUAUGAUGAUGAUAAGGACAUUGCCUUUCUUAUGGCUAUUCAAUUAUAGUUUUUGUUCUCAUUUAAAAUAAUCAGAGUUUCAUCGUGAAGCCUUCUAAGGAAAUUUGAAUGUUACAUGAGGUGUGUAAUGGAAUAAAAAUGGAGUUACAAGGACUUCUGUUCAAUUGCCAACAUGUUUCUUUUCUAUUACUAGAGAUGGUAGAGUGGCUUUGGGGAUUACAAGAUUUAAACAUUACUUUGUACCUAGUCUUCGGCCAUUUGCUUGACCAUUUUCAUGAUUCACAACGUGAACAUGGUGACCAUUCUUCUGAAUAGCCAGUCUAAAACUCUUGGUAAUUUUUGGCUCAUAGUAUUUGCAGAAUUGCAUUUUUAAUGAUAGCACAUGUCCUGUCAAUCCUGUGAGAAUAUGUAUUUCAUAAAGUACAGCCACUUACAGGGUCUUUGAGGCAUUUUCCAAUGAGAGCAUGAGUUGUCCACAUCAGGGCAUUGCAGGUGGUCCAGGGGCAAAGAAAAAGCUAAGUUUGGAGGCACAAUAAAGAGAAGUACAAAGAACAAACAGUAAGAUAACAUAAAAAUCACACUGCAGUUGUAAUGCUCAGUUUGGUUUUGGGGACCUGGGGCAGCACGUGGGGAAAUACUAAUUGGUCAGAAUAGAUCUAUAGAAAUUCCACAGACGUUGUGAGAAUAAUUAGAUUUGAUACAAGGCACUACUCAAUAGUAUAGUAAGGAUUAGUGAGGCGGCACAAGAAUUAUAGCCAUUGUCAAACUGCAAAGAUUUUCUUCAUUUUUUUCAAGAGGAAACUUGUGAACUGGGUAAAGUUCCCCUUGUUGUUUAGUAUUUGAAACCAGUGAGAGAGCUCUUCAUUCUAUGUGAGGCUCAGUUGGCUGUACACGUAGAGUUUUAUCAAACAACAAAUCUAAAAUUUCACUGAUCAUAUUUGACUGUCAAAAACAUGACCCUCUGCUCUGACUCUUCUGUUUAUGUUAAAGCAUCUAUGGUUAAUGACUUUCUGGUUCUUGUAUUGUGAUGGACUUCAAAAUAGAUAAAUUAUUCUCUGAAGAUAAAAACCUUGUCAGUAAAAAUGAGUUUAACUUGGCAAGCUUUUCUUUUUGGAGGGGGGGGUGUCAUCUUGUGUUCUAGAAAUAAUUCACAUUAGUCAUCUUUUAGGGACUGUAAGUCAUGUCUUCCCUGUCAGGAUAUCAUACCCUGGUAGCAAUUUAUUAAAUAUUUCCUGCUGAAAAUGAACCCAGGAGAUAGUAAUUAACCUACUGUUGAGUGUGAUAAUAGAAUCAGAGAUUGAUGAACAAUUUUCUUCAAAUAUUUUAAGUAAUGGCAUAAAACUAAAAGGCCAUGCAUUGCUUGUCUUAGAAAAACAGUACAGAAUAUGUUAGAAUAUUAUGAAUAAAUGAACACUUUCAUUUAUGAGCUUUAUAUAGAAAUCAUUCAGUUUCUCUGGCAGAGGUGCAGUCUGCGUGGUAGUUAAUCUUCUCCUGGCAUUAUUGUAUAAUGCAACGCCUCUUUGGGCAAUCUUUUGUAUUAAAAUACAGCAUUUAAGCUCCUUUCCUCCACAAAGCAUUGCAAGGAUGAAUUGUACAAUCUCUUUUUUGAUAACCUGCUGGAAAUUAUUUCAGAAAUAACCAAGAUGGUAAUUCCCAUUUCAUAUCUUUCUUUAUAACUCAUUGGAAAAUAGGAAGUAUUUUCAAAGCAGCAAAAAGUUAUUGGAAUAUUAAAAAAAAUUAAAAAAACCCUGUAUUGGUAACCAAAUGAUUCCUGUCACAGCAUUGCCACCCACCCUGAGCAACUCAUUUAUCUUCCAUUGGCUUGUCAUUAUCAUUAUUUUAAUCAUUAAAAUAAGAAUAUUAAUUUGAUGACCUCUAGGUAAAUUUGAUUUUAAACUACCCCUUCCUGUUUAGAUCCUUUUCCUCAUUCUUAUUUCCAUCUAUCCCAUUUCUUCUUAUUAUAUUCUAAUGACCUCUUAUUCUAAGCUCCAAGAAAUUAUGGUUCAUCCCAGCUCAACUUAUGAUUUCUUCCUGUACAAGAGACCUGUCUCUCAUCCUCACUGCAGUCUAUUUCUCCCUCUGUAAAGGAGUUUAAAUGUCAGGGAUCAACUGGGUCGAGAGAAAAGCUUAGACCCAAUGAUGGUCAAUUGAUCGGCAAGACUUAGGCUAAAUCAGAUAGAGUCCCUUUCAGAUGCCCAGGAAGAUAGCUUCUAAUCAGAGGAAAAUAGCACCUUCAACUUGCAGUGAACAUGUUAGGAUGGCUACAACAAUCAUUUGUGAAAACUUUUUAGUUAUAAGUACUAUCUCCUCACAAAUCAGUGAUUAAGUUCAUUUAAAAUAGCCAUUCAUUCUGAGUUUUGAUCCAUAUUUGGCUUAGUAAAAGACCAACUCAUAAGGUUUAACAUUUCAUUUAAGGAUUUUUCAAGAUGAAGAAUUGUUGAUAGGAAGUUCCUCUGUGAGCUGGGUUAGAAUCCAUGGAUUGUAAAUUUUCUUUUCCACAUUGUGAGUGGAAAAAAUAUGCACUACCAGGAAAUGCCAGUCUGCUCUUCAAAAUAAGUAUAAUUAUUUUUAAAAUUAAGAUUUGGCUUUUUAAAAAUAUCUUGGUGGAGGAAGAAAAUUGAACAUGCAUGUCUAUGUAUAAAAAUUAGGCCAUACAUGGCUUCUUAUUUUGGUGCAAAAGGAUGAAAAUUAUCCAUUUUUGGUGAAAAGAGAGGAAAUCAUUCAAAUCCUCUGAGACACUAAUUCAUAAGCUAUAUGAAAUCUUUAACAGCAUGAACUCAAGUUUAUGCAAUUCCCUCAAGAAAAGCAGCUUAUUUAAAAUAAUAAAUUAUUAUGUGUAAUAUUGUUAUUACUCUCACUAGUAGUGUAAGAGUCAUUAAUAAAAUAGAGUCUCUGUGAUAUGUGAGUUCUCAUAUCAAACUAUACAUCUAUUAUAAAUGUUCUGCAUAGAGCAAAAUACCCAUAUUUGAAAUGGAUUCCAUGUGAUUAAUAGUCACCUUGCAUCAUGGAAAUUAAGGAACUCUAAGUCUACACCAUGAACAUUUGAAUUUUCUGGCAUUUAAAGGAGAGGAUGAGGUGGGGAGGAAUAGUAGUGCUUUUUAUUUCUUUUAUUUAUAUGCCAUGAGAGCUUCCAAAGAACAUAAAGAGAUGGCCGUAACCUUCUCUGUUAGAUGAAGAGGAAAAUACAGAUGUCUGAAGGAAACUUUAUUAGGAAAGUGCAUAAAGCCUUAAGAAGGUUCAGAGAAUUGAGAGGUCAUUGAGAGUUGAGAUGGAGAGGGCUUCAUAGAGAAGUCCUCACUUGAGUUAUUCCCAAGAAUCUAAAUUUAAUCUAGACAAGGGGAAAGAGCUACUUUUUGCCAUGCUACACUCACUCUCUUCUGCAGCUGUACUGAAUUUUUUACUUUUCCUAAUGAACUAUGACCUACUAACCUCCAGGCUUUCACUUAGAACUCUUUCCCUUCCGUUACUGCCUGAGUAAUGACAUUACCGUCACUGUUCUCAGUCAAGCUGGGACUUUUUCAGAAAGGUUCCUGUGAUCUUUUCCAGCACUCUGACAAUUUGAGUUUGUUGCUCUUUUUUGGAGGUGCUAAGAAAUCUGCAUGUACUGUUGCUAUCAAUGCACUUGCUACUGAAUGUCGAAGUUACCAUUUAGAUCUUGAUUACCUCCUGUAGAUUGUUGGAUCCUCCAUGGCAGAGUACGUGUCUUACAACCUUAUCCAUUACUCUUUGCACAGUUCCUGGCACUUAUUAGUUAUCACUAAACACCUGUGUAUUGAUGAAUGAAGGAAGUAAAGAAGGAAGAAAUGAACAGGACAUGAUUUACAUGAGAAACGUCAUAGAGGCAGAAAUGAUGGGUUGACCCAAAGACAAUGAGAAGACUUAUGGGAUUAAACUUUAUCUCUGAUGUCA
Non-coding RNA from Microcebus murinus (gray mouse lemur), 9640 nucleotides. Lineage: Eukaryota; Metazoa; Chordata; Mammalia; Primates; Cheirogaleidae. The record is from RefSeq and is a predicted model, not a curated record.